Molecule: ribosomal RNA, 449 nt
Filed under: uncultured bacterium
Lineage: Bacteria
Description: bacterial SSU rRNA
Rfam family: Bacterial small subunit ribosomal RNA
Source: RNAcentral
CUCUGUGACUCCUACGGGAGGCAGCAGUGGGGAAUAUUGCACAAUGGGCGCAAGCCUGAUGCAGCAACGCCGCGUGAGCGAUGAAGGCCUUCGGGUCGUAAAGCUCUGUCCUCAAGGAAGAAUAAAUGACGGUACUUGAGGAGGAAGCCCCCGGCUAACUACGUGCCAGCAGCCGCGGUAAUACGUAGGGGCAAGCGUUAUCCGGAAUCACUGGGCGUAAAGGGUGCGUAGGCGGUUUUUCAAGUCAGAAGUGAAAGGCUAUGGCUCAACCAUAGUAAGCUUUUGAAACUGUUAAACUUGAGUGCAGGAGAGGAAAGUGGAAUUCCUAGUGUAGAGGUGAAAUUCGUAGAUAUUAGGAGGAACACCAGUGGCGAAGGCGACUUUCUGGACUGUAACUGACGCUGAGGCACGAAAGCGUGGGGAGCGAACAGGAUUAGAUUCCCUGGUAG